GGCAUGUGUCCUUGUAUGGACCCUAUAGCAUCUUUGGAGCAGGGAAGAGCCAAUAGGCCGCUGUCCCCGCAACUGUACUGGGUGCGAACGCUCAAAUUGCCACUGUGGAACCCAUUAUAUUUAUUUAGUCCAUGGGCCAUGGGAAGGUGAGUUAGUAGGUUCCCCAGGAGCCAGGAAACCUAUCCAAAGAGCAUAUGUACA
This 201-nucleotide non-coding RNA is filed under the name Candidatus Entotheonella. The record is from RNAcentral. Lineage: Bacteria; Pseudomonadati; Candidatus Tectimicrobiota; Candidatus Entotheonellia; Candidatus Entotheonellales; Candidatus Entotheonellaceae.